Molecule: ribosomal RNA, 1471 nt
Filed under: human gut metagenome
Description: bacterial LSU rRNA
Rfam family: Bacterial large subunit ribosomal RNA
Source: RNAcentral
GUGAAAAGAACCCCGAGCAGGGGAGUGAAAUAGUUCCUGAAACCAUACGCCUACAAGCGGUCGGAGCAUCGCAAGAUGUGACGGCGUGCCUUUUGCAUAAUGAUCCUACGAGUUACCGUCACUGGCGAGGUUGAGUGUCACGAGACACGUAGCCGCAGUGAAAGCGAGCCUGAAGAGGGCGCACAGUCAGUGGGGGUAGACGCGAAACCAAGUGAUCUACACUUGGCCAGGAUGAAGUCCCGGUAACACGGGAUGGAGGUCCGCACCAAUAAGCGUUGAAAAGCUUCUGGAUGAGCCGAGUGUAGGAGUGAAAGGCCAAUCAAACUUGGAGAUAGCUCGUACUCCCCGAAAGGCAUUUAGGUGCCGCGUCGGAUGGUCACCGUGAGAGGUAGAGCGACCGAUAGGACAAGAGGGCUUCACCGCCUAUCGAGUCCUGACGAACUCCGAAUGCUCACGGUCUGCAGUCCGGCAGUAAGGGGGCGGGUGCUAAGGUCCGUCCCCGAGAGGAGAAGAAUCCAGACCGCCGUCUAAGGUCCCGGAGUUCUGCCUGAGUUAGUCUAACGAAGUCUGGUCCCUAUGACAGCUAGGAUGUUGGCUUGGAAGCAGCCAUUCAUUCAAAGAGUGCGUAACAGCUCACUAGUCGAGGGUCCGGGCAUGGAUAAUAAUCGGGUAUAAGGCAGACACCGAAGGCGCGGGAUAGCAUUUAAGAAAGUAUCGGUAGGGGAGCAUACUCACAGCGUCGAAUGGUGUACGUAAGUUAUCCUGGAGCGGUGAGUAAAGCAAAUGUAGGAAUAAGUAACGAUAAGGAGGGUUAGAUUCCCUCCCGCUGUAAGACCAAGGUUUCCCGGGCAAUGCCAAUCAGCCCGGGGUCAGUCGGGUCCUAAGUCUAAGCCGAACGGCGAUGGCGAUGGCAGAGACGGUUAAUAUUCCGUCACUGCCGCAUGGGGCGAUGUGGAGACGGAGCAGUGAAACCACCGCGGGGCGACGGAAGUCCCCGUUGAAGAGUGUAGGCGUUGAGGAUGGCAGGCAAAUCCACCAUCCGAGCUGAACUUGACAGUAUGGAGUCUUCUUCGGAAGAAUCCAAUAGUGUGGGUAAUCAUACUCCCGAGAAAAUCCGCUAAGCUUAACCCAUGCGGCACCCGUACCGCAAACGGACACACGUGGUCGGGUAGAACAUACUAAGGCGUUGAGAGAUUCAUGGUUAAGGAACUAGGCAAAUUGACCCUGUAACUUCGGGAUAAAGGGUCCUCGUGAUGAGCGAGGCGCAGAGAAUAGGUCCAGGCAACUGUUUAACAAAAACACAGGGCUGUGCAAACUCGAAAGAUGACGUAUACAGCCUGACACCUGCCCGGUGCCGGAAGGUUAAGAGGAGAUGUCACUCGCAAGAGGAAGCAUUGAAUUGAAGCCCCGGUAAACGGCGGCCGUAACUAUAACGGUCCUAAGGUAGCGAAAUUCCUUGUCGGGUAAGUUC